CGGGAGGCAGCAGUGGGGAAUUUUCCGCAAUGGGCGAAAGCCUGACGGAGCAAUACCGCGUGAGGGAGGAAGGUUUUUGGAUUGUAAACCUCUUUUUUAAAGGAAGAAGAAAGUGACGGUACUUUAAGAAUAAGCAUCGGCUAACUCCGUGCCAGCAGCCGCGGUAAUACGGAGGAUGCAAGCGUUAUCCGGAAUCAUUGGGCGUAAAGCGUCCGCAGGUGGUUAAUCAAGUCUGCUGUUAAAGACAGAAGCUCAACUUCUGAUAGGCGGUGGAAACUGGUUAACUAGAGUACGGUAGGGGUUGAGGGAAUUCCCAGUGUAGCGGUGAAAUGCGUAGAUAUUGGGAAGAACACCAGUGGCGAAGGCGCUCAACUGGGCCGUAACUGACACUCAGGGACGAAAGCUAGGGUAGCGAAAGGGAUUAGAUACCCCUGUAGUCUUAGCUGUAAACGAUGAACACUAGGCGUUGCUUGUAUCGACCCGAGCAGUGCCGUAGCCAACCGCGUUAAGUGUUCCGCCUGGGGAGUACGCACGCAAGUGUGAAACUC
This 548-nucleotide ribosomal RNA is filed under the name uncultured cyanobacterium. RNAcentral describes it as "bacterial SSU rRNA". It matches the Rfam family "Bacterial small subunit ribosomal RNA", at positions 342 to 902 of the family's 1533-position model. The record is from RNAcentral. Lineage: Bacteria; Bacillati; Cyanobacteriota.